RNAcentral lists this ribosomal RNA (409 nucleotides) under Morganella morganii. Its description in RNAcentral is "bacterial SSU rRNA". It matches the Rfam family "Bacterial small subunit ribosomal RNA", at positions 344 to 745 of the family's 1533-position model. Lineage: Bacteria; Pseudomonadati; Pseudomonadota; Gammaproteobacteria; Enterobacterales; Morganellaceae. The record is from RNAcentral.
GGAGGCAGCAGUAAGGAAUAUUGCACAAUGGGCGCAAGCCUGAUGCAGCCAUGCCGCGUGUAUGAAGAAGGCCUUCGGGUUGUAAAGUACUUUCAGUCGGGAGGAAGGUGGUGAGCUUAAUACGCUCAUCAAUUGACGUUACCGACAGAAGAAGCACCGGCUAACUCCGUGCCAGCAGCCGCGGUAAUACGGAGGGUGCAAGCGUUAAUCGGAAUUACUGGGCGUAAAGCGCACGCAGGCGGUUGAUUGAGUCAGAUGUGAAAUCCCCGGGCUUAACCCGGGAAUUGCAUCUGAUACUGGUCAGCUAGAGUCUUGUAGAGGGGGGUAGAAUUCCAUGUGUAGCGGUGAAAUGCGUAGAGAUGUGGAGGAAUACCGGUGGCGAAGGCGGCCCCCUGGACAAAGACUGACG